This 225-nucleotide unclassified non-coding RNA is filed under the name Hevea brasiliensis (rubber tree). The record is from RNAcentral. Lineage: Eukaryota; Viridiplantae; Streptophyta; Magnoliopsida; Malpighiales; Euphorbiaceae.
UUCGCAAUCCAUUCAAUGGACAUGUGGUUGAUAAUCAUUUGGUAAUCCUCCAUCUGUCAUUACCAAUUUGGUCAAUUUAAUAUUAAUAUAUCACUUCGACUUUCGGACCGUCGCUUUCUUAUCCCUUGCCAAAUUUUUCUUCAAUUAUACGCAUAUGAUCAUACCCCACAUCCAACCAUUUUCAAUACAAUAACACUUAAGCUCAAAGUUCCACUUUUUUUUUUU